Molecule: ribosomal RNA, 465 nt
Filed under: Vreelandella stevensii
Lineage: Bacteria; Pseudomonadati; Pseudomonadota; Gammaproteobacteria; Oceanospirillales; Halomonadaceae
Description: partial 16S ribosomal RNA
Rfam family: Bacterial small subunit ribosomal RNA
Source: RNAcentral
CCUACGGGGGGCUGCAGUGGGGAAUAUUGGACAAUGGGCGAAAGCCUGAUCCAGCCAUGCCGCGUGUGUGAAGAAGGCCUUCGGGUUGUAAAGCACUUUCAGUGGGGAAGAAAGCCUUGGGGCUAAUACCCUCGAGGAAGGACAUCACCCACAGAAGAAGCACCGGCUAACUCCGUGCCAGCAGCCGCGGUAAUACGGAGGGUGCGAGCGUUAAUCGGAAUUACUGGGCGUAAAGCGCGCGUAGGCGGUCUGAUAAGCCGGUUGUGAAAGCCCCGGGCUCAACCUGGGAACGGCAUCCGGAACUGUCAGGCUAGAGUGCAGGAGAGGAAGGUAGAAUUCCCGGUGUAGCGGUGAAAUGCGUAGAGAUCGGGAGGAAUACCAGUGGCGAAGGCGGCCUUCUGGACUGACACUGACGCUGAGGUGCGAAAGCGUGGGUAGCAAACAGGACUAGAUACCCCAGUAGUC